Molecule: ribosomal RNA, 500 nt
Filed under: uncultured bacterium
Lineage: Bacteria
Description: partial 16S ribosomal RNA
Rfam family: Bacterial small subunit ribosomal RNA
Source: RNAcentral
AUUGAACGCUGGCGGCAGGCCUAACACAUGCAAGUCGAGCGGAUGACGGGAGCUUGCUCCUUGAUUCAGCGGCGGACGGGUGAGUAAUGCCUAGGAAUCUGCCUGGUAGUGGGGGACAACGUUUCGAAAGGAACGCUAAUACCGCAUACGUCCUACGGGAGAAAGCAGGGGACCUUCGGGCCUGGCGCGAUCAGAUGAGCCUAGGGCGGAUUAGCUAGUUUGUGGGGGAAUGGCUCACCAAGGCGACGAUCCGUAACUGGUCUGAGAGGAUGAUCAGUCACACUGGAACUGAGACACGGUCCAGACUCCUACGGGAGGCAGCAGUGGGGAAUAUUGGACAAUGGGCGAAAGCCUGAUCCAGCCAUGCCGCGUGUGUGAAGAAGGUCUUCGGAUUGUAAAGCACUUUAAGUUGGGAGGAAGGGCAGUAAGUUAAUACCUUGCUGUUUUGACGUUACCGACAGAAUAAGCACCGGCUAACUCUGUGCCAGCAGCCGCCGUAA